RNAcentral lists this transfer RNA (63 nucleotides) under Tylorrhynchus heterochetus (Japanese palolo). RNAcentral describes it as "tRNA-Cys". It matches the Rfam family "tRNA". From Rfam's summary of the family: Transfer RNA (tRNA) molecules are approximately 80 nucleotides in length. Their secondary structure includes four short double-helical elements and three loops (D, anti-codon, and T loops). Further hydrogen bonds mediate the characteristic L-shaped molecular structure. tRNAs have two regions of fundamental functional importance: the anti-codon, which is responsible for specific mRNA codon recognition, and the 3' end, to which the tRNAs corresponding amino acid is attached (by aminoacyl-tRNA synthetases). tRNAs cope with the degeneracy of the genetic code in two manners: having more than one tRNA (with a specific anti-codon) for a particular amino acid; and 'wobble' base-pairing, i.e. permitting non-standard base-pairing at the 3rd anti-codon position. Lineage: Eukaryota; Metazoa; Annelida; Polychaeta; Phyllodocida; Nereididae. The record is from RNAcentral.
GGCCCUGUAGUUGAAUUAUACAAUGUUAAACUGCAGAUUUAAAGGUGUGUCCCACCAGGGCUU